AGUGAACGCUGGCGGUAGGCCUAACACAUGCAAGUCGAACGGCAGCACAGUAAGAGCUUGCUCUUACGGGUGGCGAGUGGCGGACGGGUGAGGAAUACAUCGGAAUCUACUUUUUCGUGGGGGAUAACGUAGGGAAACUUACGCUAAUACCGCAUACGACCUACGGAUGAAAGCAGGGGAUCUUCGGACCUUGCGCGAUUGAAUGAGCCGAUGUCGGAUUAGCUAGUUGGCGGGGUAAAGGCCCACCAAGGCGACGAUCCGUAGCUGGUCUGAGAGGAUGAUCAGCCACACUGGAACUGAGACACGGUCCAGACUCCUACGGGAGGCAGCAGUGGGGAAUAUUGGACAAUGGGCGCAAGCCUGAUCCAGCCAUACCGCGUGGGUGAAGAAGGCCUUCGGGUUGUAAAGCCCUUUUGUUGGUAAAGAAAAGCAGCAGGUUAAUACCCCGCUGUUCUGACGGUACCCAAAGAAUAAGCACCGGCUAACUUCGUG
RNAcentral lists this ribosomal RNA (492 nucleotides) under uncultured bacterium. RNAcentral describes it as "partial 16S ribosomal RNA". It matches the Rfam family "Bacterial small subunit ribosomal RNA", at positions 29 to 507 of the family's 1533-position model. The record is from RNAcentral.